Long non-coding RNA from Vicia villosa (hairy vetch), 1265 nucleotides. RefSeq lists it as uncharacterized. The transcript is spliced from 4 exons. The record is from RefSeq and is a predicted model, not a curated record. Lineage: Eukaryota; Viridiplantae; Streptophyta; Magnoliopsida; Fabales; Fabaceae.
AUGCAAUAAACUUUUCUAAACCCAGUUUUCAACAAUUUUCACCGAUGAAAACAUAAAUUUUAUAUUACAUCCGAGUUUAUUCUUCUCAAAUCUUCCAUUCUCCUUCUCAAACACUGAAACCCUAACCUUCUCUGAAAUGAGGUCUUCCCAAAUAUUCCCUUAAUCGAAAUCCCAAAUCUUCCCUUGAUUCUCAACGGCAAUGCAACAGGGUACGAACAAGUCAACGAAACAAGCCAAAAUCUCGAGGGUGCUUCCCCGCCAUCACUCAUGUUCAGCAGCGAUGAUGACGAUGAAGAAGCCAAUCAAGAUUUGAAUCUCAAAAUCGUGGAAAAGGCCCUACGAAACUGAGAGGCAAAGCUUGCACUAAACGACAUAGUUUUGAACGGUAUCGACUCUUCUCUGGUUUCACCGUCGCACCAAUCUGAAUUCAAGGUGAUGCAAUGCGACGUUUUGGAUAUAGCUGUUUGGGAAGUGAUGGAAGAGAAGAAAACGACGAAGUUGAUGAUGGACUCUGGGGAUUCAAGUGUUAAUAUAGUUGCAGAUCAAGAGGUGGAAGAGAUAAUUAAAACUUCAAGUCUGUGGAAUUGGAAGCAAGUCCAGUUCAGAUAAUGAAUCUAAUGAAUUUUUCAGAUGAUGAUUCAAUGUAAUUAUUAGAAGAUAUUCUAAUUAAGAAAGGUGCAAACUACGUUGAUGAUCGAAUUGUUAAAGCGCUUAUUGCCCGUGAUACAUGAAAUAUCCGCAUCAAAGAUAGAAAAGGUCAAACUGCACUGCAUAUGGAUGUCAAAGGACCGAGUACAUCAAUGGUGGAAAAGAUAUUACAAGCUGAUCCAACUAUAUUGAAUAACUGCAAUAAGAAGGGUAAUACAACUCUUCACAUGGCUACGAGGAAAGAUAGUGAGCCUUUUGUUAAGCUAUUCAUCUGUGGAUUUUAAUGCUAUCAAUAAGCAAAUAAGAAACAGCAACCGAGGUUGUACAAGACGAGUAAACCGAUAUGCAAAAGUUAUGAUUUCAGCGAGUAAAAGACAGAGAUGGUGACUCACUCUCGCAUAUAAUCAAUCAUGGGAAACGAUUAUUCUGAAAUUGACGAGUGGAACCAGAAGAAGAUACACCAGAAUAAUGUGAAUCAUAUAGAAGUAAAAGAUAAGUCAAACAAUCUCUUUUUAAAUCCAUGUGAUUCAUGUGUGCAUAUAUUUUGAAUUGAUGUGUAUCUAUUUAUUAACUCAUGUAUUGUAUGGCUCUAUUUUUCCUUUGUUUUCAAUUUCUAC